RNAcentral lists this ribosomal RNA (274 nucleotides) under uncultured bacterium. RNAcentral describes it as "partial 16S ribosomal RNA". It matches the Rfam family "Bacterial small subunit ribosomal RNA", at positions 523 to 796 of the family's 1533-position model. The record is from RNAcentral.
AUACGGAGGGGGCUAGCGUUGUUCGGAAUUACUGGGCGUAAAACGCGCGUAGGCGGCCUGUCAAGUUGGAUGUGAAAGCCCGGGGCUCAACCCCGGAAUUGCAUUCAAAACUGGCAAGCUAGAGACCGAGAGAGGUGAGUGGAAUUUCCAGUGUAGAGGUGAAAUUCGUAGAUAUUGGAAAGAACACCAGUGGCGAAGGCGGCUCACUGGCUCGGUACUGACGCUGAGGUGCGAAAGCGUGGGGAGCAAACAGGAUUAGAUACCCCAGUAGUCC